This 120-nucleotide ribosomal RNA is filed under the name Acyrthosiphon pisum (pea aphid). Its description in RNAcentral is "Eukaryotic small subunit ribosomal RNA". It matches the Rfam family "Eukaryotic small subunit ribosomal RNA", at positions 477 to 594 of the family's 1831-position model. Lineage: Eukaryota; Metazoa; Arthropoda; Insecta; Hemiptera; Aphididae. The record is from Rfam by way of RNAcentral.
AUAACGAUACGGGACUCAUCCGAGGCCCCGUAAUCGGAAUGAGAACACUUUAAAACCUUUAAACGAGGAUCAAUUGGAGGGCAAGUCUGGUGCCAGCAGCCGCGGUAAUUCCAGCUCCAA